Molecule: long non-coding RNA, 383 nt
Filed under: Androctonus crassicauda
Lineage: Eukaryota; Metazoa; Arthropoda; Arachnida; Scorpiones; Buthidae
Source: RNAcentral
GGUUAAGAUAAAUGUUCCAAAUAACCGUCUCGUUUUUCUUCAAUGGAGGCAUAAGAUUAAGUCACCGGGGACGAUAUAAAAGUUGGCGUAAGAACUUUAAUGGUGAGUCAGUCGGUCGAAAGUAUACGGUGAAGUUCGUGCAUCCUACUCUUCUGCUCAUCACCGCUGUAUCUGCAUCGUUCGUCUCUGUUAUCUUCCUCUAUGUCAGUUAUACUCAUCGCAGAAGAAAAAGGGAAAUCAACGCCGACCAUCAAACUUUAUUGACUCGAAUCUGAUUGAUCUCUUCUCAGCGCCGACACAGUCCUAUGCCAGUGACUUUGGAUUCACAUCGAACUUUCUCUUUGGACUAUUCUAAUCUGAAAGGUAUUCUCUCAAGAAAUUGU